This 466-nucleotide ribosomal RNA is filed under the name rumen bacterium NK4A63. Its description in RNAcentral is "bacterial SSU rRNA". It matches the Rfam family "Bacterial small subunit ribosomal RNA", at positions 28 to 479 of the family's 1533-position model. The record is from RNAcentral.
GAUGAACGCUGGCGGCGUGCCUAACACAUGCAAGUCGAACGGAGUUUAGCGCUGAUGAAGCUUCGGCAGAUUCUUGUUAAACUUAGUGGCGGACGGGUGAGUAACGCGUGGGUAACCUGCCUCAUACAGGGGGAUAGCAGUUGGAAACGACUGAUAACACCGCAUAAGCGCACAGGAUCGCAUGAUCUAGUGUGAAAAUAUUUAUAGGUAUGAGAUGGACCCGCGUCUGAUUAGCUAGUUGGUGAGGUAACGGCCCACCAAGGCGACGAUCAGUAGCCGGCCUGAGAGGGCGGACGGCCACAUUGGGACUGAGACACGGCCCAAACUCCUACGGGAGGCAGCAGUGGGGGAUAUUGCACAAUGGGCGAAAGCCUGAUGCAGCGACGCCGCGUGAGUGAAGAAGUAUUUCGGUAUGUAAAGCUCUAUCAGCAGGGAAGAAAGACCUCGUAAGAGGGGAUGACGUACC